AGACCCGAAACCCGGUGAUCUAGCCAUGGGCAGGUUGAAGGUUGGGUAACACUAACUGGAGGACCGAACCGACUAAUGUUGAAAAAUUAGCGGAUGACCUGUGGCUGGGGGUGAAAGGCCAAUCAAACCGGGAGAUAGCUGGUUCUCCCCGAAAGCUAUUUAGGUAGCGCCUCGUGAAUUCAUCUCCGGGGGUAGAGCACUGUUUCGGCUAGGGGGCCAUCCCGGCUUACCAACCCGAUGCAAACUGCGAAUACCGGAGAAUGUUAUCACGGGAGACACACGG
Molecule: ribosomal RNA, 283 nt
Filed under: Salmonella enterica
Lineage: Bacteria; Pseudomonadati; Pseudomonadota; Gammaproteobacteria; Enterobacterales; Enterobacteriaceae
Also listed under: 3 other names
Description: partial 23S ribosomal RNA
Rfam family: Bacterial large subunit ribosomal RNA
Source: RNAcentral